This is a non-coding RNA of Zootermopsis nevadensis, 2450 nucleotides long. NCBI's taxonomy places the organism in Eukaryota, Metazoa, Arthropoda, Insecta, Blattodea, Termopsidae. The record is from RefSeq and is a predicted model, not a curated record.
AUCGUAAUUCUUACAUCGCUGAUUUUGAAGAAAAAUUAUAAAUACUGUCAUCUCUGCAAUUACAUAUGUUUCGUUAACGCGAAUUUGCUCCAAUGAGAUCGAUCAAUCAAUCGAUAAAAGCUGUUUUUGAAAUGCAAACUUUUGCAUAUGCGAGUUUGCUCUUGUGCUACAGCGAAGAGGAUCGUUAUGGCAUCCAUGAGCCCUUAUCGUGAAAUUUUGAAAGAAAGAAAGAAGAAAUCACAUCAGUCCACACUAUAUACCUUCUUUAAAAAUCAUGACGAUCCUCAACCAGGGACUUCGUCAGAGAACUAACUCCGCUUCAUCACGCCCUCGCCGAUUUAUCUGCUUCAUUUUCUUAUGCAAAUGCAAUGGAAUUUGUUGUAAACCAACAUUAACAUACAAAAGGUAUCAUAUGUUUUGUCAGGAUUGUCCAUUUUAGUGUAACAAGAGUGAUAUCAAGCAUAAAGAGAUUCUUUCAGUUGAAUGUCGGUAUUCCAUGCAUAUGUGUCUGUGGGUUUUUUCUACACAUAAGGGGUUUUCAUGCAUUUGAAGUAGUUUUAAACUCUUUUUGAGAGGAGUAAACAAAAUUUACCUCAUUCAAGUAUUAAUGAAUUGAGGUUAUAAUUCUUCAAUGAAUUAAAAUUAUAUAACUCAUUAACAGCUGAUGGGGGAUGGGCAGUUUUGUAUGAAGCUUCCAUUUAAAGGUAAUAUGAACUUUGAUUUCCUGUUAAUUAUGUGUGCCAUAGUCAAAGUAUUAUAUCACAGACUAAGGAUUAUAAGUCCUCAAAUUUUAAAGUAAUGGCACACAUUAAAAUUAAGGUUAUGUCAUGUGAAAUUUGCCAGGCUGUCAUUGUACUCAGUAUACUGGUUAAGCUACCUGAAUACUAAGUACAAAGGUAAUGAAGACUGUGACCAUAAGUGAUAUUAUAGUAUGUAUUCUGAUUAAUCAGUGUUUCAUUAGCAUAUUUAAACAAGUCAAUGUAACUGGUUAAAAUUACUUUUUUAAUGUACUGACAAGUAUUUAUCACUACCAAAACAAAUUUGCGUUCAUAAUUUAAUAUUCACAGAACUGCAAAACUGACCAACAAAAUUGAACAGAAUUCUGAAAAUGACAAAAAAAUUAUAAAAAUCAUACACAUAAGUCAGUUAUGUUUUGAGCCUUCUCUUUAAAGAAAAGAACAUAGACCUCAGAAUUUCUGAGUUGAAGAUAAUUAUGUUACUGAUUCCAAAUUUUAAAUUUUGCUUUCAGAUGAAAUUCCUACUGAUCGUGUUCCAGUAAUAUUUAAAUUAGCUGAUUGAGAAAUUCCUUGUAAUUCAUGUGUAAUGAUAAUAGAUUCUUAUUUUAAUAUUCACUUGUGCCAUCUUGUUGCUUGCAUACACAUUGCCUGUCCCUUAUUCUAGUUACAUGAUGAUGAACCCUGAAUGUGUUUGAUAGGUGUCUGUAUAAUCUUAACUUCUACAUCUUCAUGGUGAUAUAAUAAUACUAGGGAAAGUAAGUUAACAGAUUGUGAAAUGAAAUGUGGAACAAGAAUAGGCUUUGAACUAAGAACCAUAAGCACAAAAGAAUCAUAAUCCACCCCUUCCUUCAAAAAAAUGCAACAGUUAUAAUGGAAGUGUCUCUUUUCUGCUCCUAAACAUUAUUUCAGUCGUUGUUGCUGCCAUAUUUGCUUGCAAAAAAUGUUACAUAUAAUUAAUUCUUUACUCUUCCCUCUCAACCAUAACACUACUAUCAGCCCUUACCCUUACUCCACCAACCCCUUGUUGAAUGAUAUCUGAAUGUCAGACCUCUAGGAUGGGGUGGAAAACAGACCAUCACAUUUUGAAAAACUUGGCAACAUUUUGCAAAGUACCCUUUUUCUAUAAAAUAACUUGAAAUAAAAAUUAAUAUAAAAACUUAUGCACACAAGUGUCUAUAUAAGAAAUAUAUAUAUAUAUAAAAGUAUAGAAAUGAAAUGAUCAUGUACAGUUUGUGAUAAUUUUUUCAUCAUGAAAAUCAUAAUCCAUAGUGCUUUUUUGAGCAUGUGAUAUAAUUUUUUUUAUCAUUCAUCAUAAGAAGAAUUUUUGUACUCAUAUUCUGUAAUGACAGGUGAGUGCAAGGAACUUAAAACCAUCACAGAAAUAAAAUACAUGUGAAAGAAACAUGAAAUAAUUAAACAGUUACUGAUAUGUACCAUGUGUGUCCAUUAAUCUUCAAAAUUUGUCCCCCAUGCCUUCUCUAACAUAUGAGGUGAUCCCUGUUCAUCAUGAAAAAUAAUAAUUACCACCAUUAAGAAUAAUAGAAAAUAUUUAUUUCUGUAUUACUGCAUGUGAAGAAAAACAAAUUUUACCACAAUCAAGACAGAAGCUGCUAGCACAUGAAAAAUUUUAGUUUGGUAAAUGAUAUCAUAGUCUACAAAUGUGUUUUGUAUGUGAAUUGCCUCUUAUGAUAUUAUACAAGGCUAAGCAAUCUU